CUCCCUAACAAGACCAGAGCAAGGCGGCAUAGGCAGAGUCUAACAGUCCGAGCAUCGCUCCGCCGCGCCAUUCUCCGUCUUCCUCUCACCAAGUCGCCGAGGUUCUUUGUCAGUUGGAAUACUGAACCCAAGCCGAGCUUUAUCUGCCGCACCAUCUCCAUUGCAAGCAAAGCCAUUUGAGUUUCAAAGUCGCCCUGCUGUGCUUUAUCGAACAACCAUAAGAUGAUCACAAGCACGGGGGGAAGCUUUUUUUUCCAGAGAAGUGCAGUGGGAGCGCGGAAGAAAAGAGCCGCGGCAGCACCAGCAGCUAGGAUUUCCUAUGACCUGAAGGUCCCACCCCCUGCAAGCUGUCCUAGUGGCAGAUUCCUUCACCACUAAGUUUGAUCCCAUAACCCUCGAAUGCCCCAAGGUAGUAUUGCCUUGGGUGAAUGUGCCGAUGAUAGAGUACACUUUGGCAUGGCUUAAAUUUGAAGAAGUGAAGGAGGACGGUUCCAUUGACAUUUGCUACAAGAAGUGCUAAGUCUUUUCACCGAUAACUUUGACUAUCAACGCCUUCGUCAACAUUUUGUGAAGGGAUUGCUCGAGAAUGAUAUCAUGGGUUCCAAAAUAUACACUCACAAAAUUCGCUCACGUUUUGCGGCUAGAGUUGAUAACUAUCAAGCUUAUGUUACCAUCAGCAAAGACAUAAUUCAGUGACAAUUGUUCCAGAUGUGCUGCGUUUCAAAAAUUAUGCGGCUAAACUAGAGCGAGAGGGAACGUAUCGAGUAUUUGGUACGGAUCACAAAUUACAAUUGGCAUGAGCCUUAUAUGGUUUCCUAUAUAAAUGACUUUUGAAGGGAUAUUCCACUACAUGUUUCUUUAAUAAACGGAGGAAAAAUCAUCUCCCAUUGUUCAACUAAAAGUAUCUUACUUCAAGUCUAACUUGAUAGAGGGACAUUAUGCCACUGGGCUAGUGAACACCAAUGUUGAUUUACUAACGAUGAUUUUCAAAUUUGAUGGAAUCAAUGAAUGUAUAUGCUCCAUCACU
Molecule: non-coding RNA, 1027 nt
Organism: Punica granatum (pomegranate)
Lineage: Eukaryota; Viridiplantae; Streptophyta; Magnoliopsida; Myrtales; Lythraceae
Source: RefSeq, a predicted model, not a curated record